RNAcentral lists this ribosomal RNA (466 nucleotides) under uncultured bacterium. Its description in RNAcentral is "partial 16S ribosomal RNA". It matches the Rfam family "Bacterial small subunit ribosomal RNA", at positions 28 to 507 of the family's 1533-position model. The record is from RNAcentral.
GAUGAACGCUGGCGGCGUGCUUAACACAUGCAAGUCGAACGGAAAGGCUCCUGCUUGCAGGGGUACUCGAGUGGCGAACGGGUGAGUAACACGUGGGUGAUCUGCCCUGCACUUCGGGAUAAGCCUGGGAAACUGGGUCUAAUACCGGAUAGGACGAUGGCUUGGAUGCCAUUGUGGAAAGUUUUUCGGUGUGGGAUGAGCUCGCGGCCUAUCAGCUUGUUGGUGGGGUAAUGGCCUACCAAGGCGUCGACGGGUAGCCGGCCUGAGAGGGUGUACGGCCACAUUGGGACUGAGAUACGGCCCAGACUCCUACGGGAGGCAGCAGGGGGGAAUAUUGCACAAUGGGCGCAAGCCUGAUGCAGCGACGCCGCGUGGGGGAGGACGGCCUUCGGGUUGUAAACUCCUUUCGCUAGGGACGAAGCGUUUUGUGACGGUACCUGGAGAAGAAGCACCGGCUAACUACGUG